Molecule: ribosomal RNA, 305 nt
Filed under: uncultured bacterium
Lineage: Bacteria
Description: bacterial SSU rRNA
Rfam family: Bacterial small subunit ribosomal RNA
Source: RNAcentral
UGGGCCCUACGGGGGGCAGCAGUGGGGAAUAUUGCACAAUGGGGGAAACCCUGAUGCAGCGACGCCGCGUGAGUGAAGAAGUAUCUCGGUAUGUAAAGCUCUAUCAGCAGGAAAGAUAAUGACGGUACCUGACUAAGAAGCCCCGGCUAACCACGUGCCAGCAGCCGCGGUAAUACGUAGGGGGCAAGCGUUAUCCGGAUCUACUGGGUGUAAAGGGUGCGUAGGUGGCAGGGCAAGUCAGAUGUGAAAGCCCGGGGCUCAACCCCGGUACUGCAUUUGAAACUGUCCAGCUGGAGGGCAGGAGG